Long non-coding RNA from Ictalurus punctatus (channel catfish), 3162 nucleotides. NCBI's taxonomy places the organism in Eukaryota, Metazoa, Chordata, Actinopteri, Siluriformes, Ictaluridae. The record is from Ensembl.
UUAAGUAAAAGGGCCCAAUAAUGUACAGUACAAGAAGUUUAAAUAGUUCACAAAUAUGAGCUUUAAUGCAAAGAUGAGAAUAGCACCAUUACCUUGAAAAAGUCUUACUGUUACAAGUGCAAAAAUGUUAAAUGAAGAGAUGUUUAAGCUGUCAGUUCUGCUCUUUCUAAUUUCCUAGCCCAUUUUGCUUGGUUCACGACUUCAAAAACCAGAAACACUGGACGCAUUGUGUGGCGGUGAAGUUACGUGUAAUAGGACUAUAGAAUAGAAAUGGGAAUUAAAUUAAAAUUGAAACUGUGGCUCUUCCGGACCUGCCUUCUUCAUCCUGAUGCUCUACUUCUGCUGGAUGUUUCCCAUAGAUAUGAUAAAGAUGUUCUCUUCCCCAAAAACAGUUUAUACCCAAGUCUGGCCAUUGCUUCACUAGAUAAUCUCACAUGAAUACAGUAAAUUUGUACCUGCUGUAAUCAUAAAGACUGCUAUGUAGACUCACAAGACUCUUAUUCACAAUAUACUUAUAUGCUUCCACUUCCACAGUUCCACAGAAAUCUAAAUCGACAUUCAGGUUUCUGUAAAGCUGCUAUGUGAAAAUGUCCGUUGUUAAAACUGAUUUUACUUCUGUCUACAUCUGAGACUUCUUGCACCUACACACUAUAUAUACACCCUCUGCCCAUAUGCUGAAUUUCAAUUGGCCCACAUUCUUCAUAUUUUCACAUUAAAUACACAGAUGCAAAUUUGCUAUCACACUUUAUAUCAUGUUGUGAAGCUGAAAUGUGUUGAACUGCUUGUUCAUGACAAGUCUAGAAGAGGAGCAAACAUGGCAUGGUGGUAAUGUUGGUGGUUAUUUCUUGAUGAGCUGUUCCUUUAAGACAGAUCAGACAGAUGAACAUGGUGUGUGAUGUUGCUGUUUUGUCUCAGAGGAGAUACUUGUUUUAGGAUAAACAAGGUUCUGGAAAAUCUGAAAGCAGUGCAUGUAAAUGAAGACAGGCUUUGAUCAAAUGUGGACUGGUAAUGUACAUACUGACUAUUUACCUGAUAAUUAUUUUCUGAUGAAUUUAGAUGCAUGCAUGGUAAACAUUUAUAAUAAUAUUGUCUGACAUGUUGGCUUUUUGCCUGGUCAGUAGAAAUCUUUUUAGCUGAUUGUUAUGUCAGAAAAGAUUUCCAACAAAGAGGACAAGGUGAUACACUUAAAUUGUGAUUCUAUAUGUCCAUUCAAAAAUACUUACUUACUGCCUCUUUCUCUGCUUGCCUUUCCUUUAACUGUCCCUAUUUUAAGCAUUCUCCUAUCCCAUAUAACACCCUCUCCAACCUUCUAGCCUCACAACUUAUCCGUGCAUGGAUUUUCUGUCGACUUACCUAGGGAGAUCGAAGACUAAUUAAGAUUGUUAAUGAAGAUUUAAUUUUCCGCUUUCCAACCCAGCAAGCACUUGAAAGAUGCAAAAGAUGCAGUGAAUUUUUAUUUAACAAACAAAACAGUACCGGAUCUGCAGUCUGAUAUUUCUACCACAAAUGUAGCAUUGUAAGUGCUUGAACAUUUCAGCUGUGCUGUUUUACUUUGCUUUACAGAGCAGGACAUCUAGCUUGUAUCAACACCGAUAACCCUCCCUACAGAUGAAACUGCAACACAUUCACAGCAAAUCAUACGUGAUAGCCUGGGGAAUGUCUCUAUGUCAGCUGAAAGGAUCAAAAAGAAUUGGGAAUGCUGAACACCCAGCUACGUAUACACAUGCCUGUCUGCCAUGAUGUGAGUGCAGGACUGUGUGGCCUGCGGUUCUCUCUCACUGCCUUGCUGCAUUAAUUAUUCACCAGGCUAAUUAUGGAGGAUGUGGUUAUCUUCACCUGCUGUAUCUCGGGCAAACUGAACAGCAAGCACACUGCCGGCUUCUUUAGUUCACAUCCCUGAAAAAUGUGGCACUGGUUACAAUUGUACAAGGCGAGAACAAUUUACUUGCAAAAUCUUCAUUGUGCAAAGCUUUUAGUGCCUCAGUGAAUGCAUCUCAUAUAUUAUUGGUGUUCCCUUAUGCCCAUUGCUAGUAUUUAGGAAGAUUUACAGCAUCAUUUCUUUUUAGACCACACAUCCUUUUGUUGAGAAGUGACUUAAAUUGCUUAUAUAACAGUGAAUAGAGGAAACAAUUACCAAAAAUAGUCUUACUCUUCCUGCUGCGUGGGUAAUCUGCUUGGAGCACUUGUGAUUCACUUUCCUACUUGGAUACCAUAAAGUUUUGCAACCCCCCCUCCCCAGAAAAAAAAAAAAAAUUAAACAGCUUAUACCCUUAAUUCAGUGGAUAAUCUCACCUGGAUACUAUAGAUUUGUAGGUAAGAACUGCUGCUGUACCCAUACAUAGUGUUCUGUGCUCAUCCCAGGACUUUUAUUCAUGAUAUACAGGAUGUUCAUAUAGAACGUCUUUUCAACACACAGUCAACACAGUCAGAUUUCUUACUCGCCACUGCCACCUCUGGUUUGCUCAUUCGGGAUCUAAAUGUACAUCCGAUUUUUUGAAAAGCUGCUUUGUGAUCAUUUCUAUUGUUAAAAUCAGUGUACAGAUUAAACUGAAUUGAAUAAUCAUGUUCUCCCUAUGUCUGUGUGGGUUUGCUUUAGGUUUUUUGAUUUCUUCCCACUGUCCAAAAACAUGCACUGUUCCUAGGAUUGGCUCCAGAUCCAAUCCACUAUGGCCCUGACACCGGGAUAAAGUGAAGGAAAGUAUCCCCACACCAUCACACUUCCACCACCAUGCUUGUCCGUAGUGGCUAUAUGAUGUUGAGAUCCAUCUUUUCACACUGAGGAUGACUGAGGGACUCGUACACAACUAUUACAAAAGGUCAUCAUCGGAGGGCUCUUAAAAAAAAAAAAAAGUGUCGUCUGAAAACAACUGCCUGGGAGCGUUGCCAUGAUGGUCACCAAGUGGACAGAAUUUACUAGAAGGACUUUGGUAUAAUGUACAUCUUGUGCUCUUCUAUUGGAUUAUCAUAUGGUUAAUUAAUACGCAACUGUGACGCAACUGUCGUACUUCCUGCUUAGGAUUGUCUCAUAGUUUUAAUUAUUACUCCUCACUAAGAAUUGCUCUGAGAAUUUUUACUCCCAGCUAUUAAGUAUCUUUUCAGUCUUAGGUAAAACAUUACAGGCUAUUUUUAAGAAGAAUUGUCAGAGGGGUAAAAUGAGAGAGA